This 88-nucleotide transfer RNA is filed under the name Jonesia denitrificans. RNAcentral's name for it is "tRNA-Ser". It matches the Rfam family "tRNA". Rfam says of the family: Transfer RNA (tRNA) molecules are approximately 80 nucleotides in length. Their secondary structure includes four short double-helical elements and three loops (D, anti-codon, and T loops). Further hydrogen bonds mediate the characteristic L-shaped molecular structure. tRNAs have two regions of fundamental functional importance: the anti-codon, which is responsible for specific mRNA codon recognition, and the 3' end, to which the tRNAs corresponding amino acid is attached (by aminoacyl-tRNA synthetases). tRNAs cope with the degeneracy of the genetic code in two manners: having more than one tRNA (with a specific anti-codon) for a particular amino acid; and 'wobble' base-pairing, i.e. permitting non-standard base-pairing at the 3rd anti-codon position. Lineage: Bacteria; Bacillati; Actinomycetota; Actinomycetes; Micrococcales; Jonesiaceae. The record is from RNAcentral. RNAcentral also lists the same sequence under 1 other name.
GGAAGUGUGGCAGAGCGGCCGAAUGCGCCGGUCUUGAAAACCGGUAGACGGUGACCCCGUCUCGCGGGUUCAAAUCCCGCCGCUUCCG